This 383-nucleotide ribosomal RNA is filed under the name uncultured eukaryote. Its description in RNAcentral is "partial 18S ribosomal RNA". It matches the Rfam family "Eukaryotic small subunit ribosomal RNA", at positions 592 to 976 of the family's 1831-position model. The record is from RNAcentral.
CAAUAGCGUAUAUUAAAGUUGUUGCAGUUAAAAAGCUCGUAGUUGGAUUUCUGGUGGGAGCGAUCGGUCUGGCGCUUAGCGCGAGUACUUGCAUCGUCUCCGGCCAUCCUUGGGGAGAGUCUGUCUGGCAUUAAGUUGUCGGGCAGAGGAUCCUCAUCGUUUACUGUGAAAAAAUUAGAGUGUUCAAAGCAGGCUUAUGCCGUUGAAUAUAUUAGCCUGGAAUAAUAAGAUAGGACUUUGGUACUAUUUUGUUGGUUUGCGCACCAAAGUAAUGAUUAAUAGGGACAGUUGGGGGUAUUCGUAUUCCGUUGUCAGAGGUGAAAUUCUUGGAUUUACGGAAGACGAACUACUGCGAAAGCAUUUACCUAGGAUGUUUUCAUUAA